AAACCAACAGGGAUUGUCUCAGUAACGGCGAGUGAAGCGACAAAAGCUCAAAUUUGAAAUCUGGCGCCUUCGGUGUCCGAGUUGUAAUUUGAAGAAGGUAACUUUGGUUUUGGCUCUUGUCUAUGUUCCUUGGAACAGGACGUCACAGAGGGUGAGAAUCCCGUGCGAUGAGAUGCCCAAUUCCAUGUAAAGUGCUUUCGAAGAGUCGAGUUGUUUGGGAAUGCAGCUCUAAGUGGGUGGUAAAUUCCAUCUAAAGCUAAAUAUUGGCGAGAGACCGAUAGCGAACAAGUACAGUGAUGGAAAGAUGAAAAGAACUUUGAAAAGAGAGUGAAAAAGUACGUGAAAUUGUUGAAAGGGAAGGGCUUGAGAUCAGACUUGGUAUUUUGUAUGUCUUGCUUUCGGGUAGGGCCUCUGCAGUUUAUCGGGCCAGCAUCAGUUUGGAUGGUAGGAUAAUGACAUUGGAACGUAGCACUGCUUCGGUGGUGUGUUAUAGACUUUGUUGAUACUGCCUGUCUAGACUGAGGACUGCGUCUUUUGACUAGGAUGCUGGCAUAAUGAUCCUAAGCCAC
RNAcentral lists this ribosomal RNA (569 nucleotides) under Scheffersomyces ergatensis. RNAcentral describes it as "eukaryotic LSU rRNA". It matches the Rfam family "Eukaryotic large subunit ribosomal RNA", at positions 62 to 648 of the family's 3401-position model. Lineage: Eukaryota; Fungi; Ascomycota; Pichiomycetes; Serinales; Debaryomycetaceae. The record is from RNAcentral.